GCCGGGAUGGCGGAAUUGGUAGACGCACACGACUCAAAAUCGUGCGGAGUAAUCCAUGAGAGUUCAAUUCUCUCUCCCGGCACCA
RNAcentral lists this transfer RNA (85 nucleotides) under Candidatus Zambryskibacteria bacterium RIFOXYD2_FULL_43_10. RNAcentral describes it as "tRNA-Leu". It matches the Rfam family "tRNA". Rfam says of the family: Transfer RNA (tRNA) molecules are approximately 80 nucleotides in length. Their secondary structure includes four short double-helical elements and three loops (D, anti-codon, and T loops). The record is from RNAcentral. Lineage: Bacteria; Candidatus Zambryskiibacteriota. RNAcentral also lists the same sequence under 1 other name.